RNAcentral lists this ribosomal RNA (2537 nucleotides) under Listeria monocytogenes. Its description in RNAcentral is "partial 23S ribosomal RNA". It matches the Rfam family "Bacterial large subunit ribosomal RNA", at positions 392 to 2925 of the family's 2925-position model. The record is from RNAcentral. RNAcentral also lists the same sequence under 1 other name. Lineage: Bacteria; Bacillati; Bacillota; Bacilli; Caryophanales; Listeriaceae.
CCCUCCAGAGUGGAUCCUGAGUACGGCGGAACACGUGAAAUUCCGUCGGAAUCCGGGAGGACCAUCUCCCAAGGCUAAAUACUCCCUAGUGACCGAUAGUGAACCAGUACCGUGAGGGAAAGGUGAAAAGCACCCCGGAAGGGGAGUGAAACAGUUCCUGAAACCGUGUGCCUACAAGUAGUUAGAGCCCGUUAAUGGGUGAUAGCGUGCCUUUUGUAGAAUGAACCGGCGAGUUACGAUUUGUUGCAAGGUUAAGCGGAAAAAGCGGAGCCGUAGCGAAAGCGAGUCUGAAUAGGGCGCAUAAGUAACAGGUCGUAGACCCGAAACCAGGUGAUCUACCCAUGUCCAGGAUGAAGGUAAGGUAAUACUUACUGGAGGUCCGAACCCACGCACGUUGAAAAGUGCGGGGAUGAGGUGUGGGUAGCGGAGAAAUUCCAAUCGAACUUGGAGAUAGCUGGUUCUCUCCGAAAUAGCUUUAGGGCUAGCCUCGAGGUAAAGAGUCAUGGAGGUAGAGCACUGUUUGGACUAGGGGCCCUUCUCGGGUUACCGAAUUCAGAUAAACUCCGAAUGCCAUGUACUUAUACUCGGGAGUCAGACUGCGAGUGAUAAGAUCCGUAGUCGAAAGGGAAACAGCCCAGACCACCAGUUAAGGUCCCCAAAUAUAUGUUAAGUGGAAAAGGAUGUGGGGUUGCUUAGACAACCAGGAUGUUGGCUUAGAAGCAGCCACCAUUGAAAGAGUGCGUAAUAGCUCACUGGUCGAGUGACCCCGCGCCGAAAAUGUACCGGGGCUAAACAUAUUACCGAAACUGUGGAUGAACCUCUUUAGAGGUUCGUGGUAGGAGAGCGUUCUAAGGGCGGUGAAGUCAGACCGGAAGGACUGGUGGAGCGCUUAGAAGUGAGAAUGCCGGUAUGAGUAGCGAAAGAAGGGUGAGAAUCCCUUCCACCGAAUAUCUAAGGUUUCCUGAGGAAGGCUCGUCCGCUCAGGGUUAGUCGGGACCUAAGCCGAGGCCGAUAGGCGUAGGCGAUGGACAACAGGUAGAGAUUCCUGUACCAGUGCUAAUUGUUUAACCGAUGGGGUGACACAGAAGGAUAGGGAAUCGCACGAAUGGAAAUGUGCGUCCAAGCAGUGAGUGUGAGAAGUAGGCAAAUCCGCUUCUCGCGAAGCAUGAGCUGUGAUGGGGAAGGAAAUUAAGUACGGAAGUUCCUGAUUUCACGCUGUCAAGAAAAGCCUCUAGGAAGAGUAGUACUGCCCGUACCGCAAACCGACACAGGUAGAUGAGGAGAGAAUCCUAAGGUGAGCGAGAGAACUCUCGUUAAGGAACUCGGCAAAAUGACCCCGUAACUUCGGGAGAAGGGGUGCUCUAUUAGGGUGCAAGCCCGAGAGAGCCGCAGUGAAUAGGCCCAGGCGACUGUUUAGCAAAAACACAGGUCUCUGCAAAACCGUAAGGUGACGUAUAGGGGCUGACGCCUGCCCGGUGCUGGAAGGUUAAGAGGAGUGCUUAGCUUCGGCGAAGGUACGAAUUGAAGCCCCAGUAAACGGCGGCCGUAACUAUAACGGUCCUAAGGUAGCGAAAUUCCUUGUCGGGUAAGUUCCGACCCGCACGAAAGGCGCAACGAUCUGGGCACUGUCUCAACGAGAGACUCGGUGAAAUUAUAGUACCUGUGAAGAUGCAGGUUACCCGCGACAGGACGGAAAGACCCCGUGGAGCUUUACUGCAACCUGAUAUGGAAUGUUUGUACCGCUUGUACAGGAUAGGUAGGAGCCGAAGAGACGUGUGCGCUAGCAUACGAGGAGGCAAUGGUGGGAUACUACCCUGGCUGUAUGACCAUUCUAACCCGCCACGCUUAGCGCGUGGGGAGACAGUGUCAGGUGGGCAGUUUGACUGGGGCGGUCGCCUCCUAAAGAGUAACGGAGGCGCCCAAAGGUUCCCUCAGAAUGGAUGGAAAUCAUUCGCAGAGUGUAAAGGCACAAGGGAGCUUGACUGCGAGACUGACAAGUCGAGCAGGGACGAAAGUCGGGCUUAGUGAUCCGGUGGUUCCGCAUGGAAGGGCCAUCGCUCAACGGAUAAAAGCUACCCCGGGGAUAACAGGCUUAUCUCCCCCAAGAGUCCACAUCGACGGGGAGGUUUGGCACCUCGAUGUCGGCUCGUCGCAUCCUGGGGCUGUAGUCGGUCCCAAGGGUUGGGCUGUUCGCCCAUUAAAGCGGCACGCGAGCUGGGUUCAGAACGUCGUGAGACAGUUCGGUCCCUAUCCGUCGCGGGCGCAGGAAAUUUGAGAGGAGCUGUCCUUAGUACGAGAGGACCGGGAUGGACACACCGCUGGUGUACCAGUUGUUCCGCCAGGAGCAUCGCUGGGUAGCUAUGUGUGGCAGGGAUAAACGCUGAAAGCAUCUAAGCGUGAAGCCCCCCUCAAGAUGAGAUUUCCCAUUUCUUCGGAAAGUAAGAUCCCUGAAAGAUGAUCAGGUAGAUAGGUUUGGAGUGGAAGUGUAGCGAUACAUGGAGCGGACAAAUACUAAUCGAUCGAGGACUUAACCAAAA